AGUGAACGCUGGCGGUAGGCCUAACACAUGCAAGUCGAACGGCAGCACAGUAAGAGCUUGCUCUUACGGGUGGCGAGUGGCGGACGGGUGAGGAAUACAUCGGAAUCUACUUUUUCGUGGGGGAUAACGUAGGGAAACUUACGCUAAUACCGCAUACGACCUACGGGUGAAAGCAGGGGAUCUUCGGACCUUGCUCGAUUGAAUGAGCCGAUGUCGGAUUAGCUAGUUGGCGGGGUAAAGGCCCACCAAGGCGACGAUCCGUAGCUGGUCUGAGAGGAUGAUCAGCCACACUGGAACUGAGACACGGUCCAGACUCCUACGGGAGGCAGCAGUGGGGAAUAUUGGACAAUGGGCGCAAGCCUGAUCCAGCCAUACCGCGUGGGUGAAGAAGGCCUUCGGGUUGUAAAGCCCUUUUGUCGGGAAAGAAAAGCAGCAGGUUAAUACCCCGCUGUUCUGACGGUACCCAAAGAAUAAGCACCGGCUAACUUCGUG
This 492-nucleotide ribosomal RNA is filed under the name uncultured bacterium. RNAcentral describes it as "partial 16S ribosomal RNA". It matches the Rfam family "Bacterial small subunit ribosomal RNA", at positions 29 to 507 of the family's 1533-position model. The record is from RNAcentral.